AGGAUGAACGCUGGCGGCGUGCUUAACACAUGCAAGUCGAACGUUAGAGUGUAGCAAUAUGCUCAAAAGUGGCGAACGGGUGAGUAACACGUAGGUAACCUGCCGCGCAGAGGGGGAUAACGACUGGAAACGGUCGCUAACACCGCAUGGUACUAACUUGACGGGAGUCUGGUUGGUUAAAACCUUGGUGCUGCGCGAGGGGCCUGCGUCCGAUUAGUUAGUUGGUGAGGUAACGGCUCACCAAGACGAUGAUCGGUAGCUGGUCUGAGAGGAUGAUCAGUCACACGGGAACUGAGACACGGUCCCGACUCCUACGGGGGGCAGCAGUGAGGAAUAUUGCACAAUGGACGCAAGUCUGAUGCAGCAACGCCGCGUGGAGGAUGAAGGUCUUUGGAUCGUAAACUCCUUUUUCUCAGGGAAGAGAAUGGACGGUACCUGAGGAAUAAGUCACGGCUAACUACGUGCCAGCAGCCGCGGU
RNAcentral lists this ribosomal RNA (478 nucleotides) under uncultured bacterium. RNAcentral's name for it is "SSU rRNA". It matches the Rfam family "Bacterial small subunit ribosomal RNA", at positions 26 to 521 of the family's 1533-position model. The record is from RNAcentral.